Molecule: transfer RNA, 71 nt
Filed under: Neotoma lepida (desert woodrat)
Lineage: Eukaryota; Metazoa; Chordata; Mammalia; Rodentia; Cricetidae
Rfam family: tRNA
About the family: Transfer RNA (tRNA) molecules are approximately 80 nucleotides in length. Their secondary structure includes four short double-helical elements and three loops (D, anti-codon, and T loops).
Source: Rfam by way of RNAcentral
UGAGAUACAGUUCAGUGCAGAGUAUGUGUCUAGCACACACAAAAGCCUGGGUUUGAGUCCCAAUACCCCAA